GACGAACCGAGCGAACGUUGUUCGGAAUCACUGGGCUUAAAGGGCGCGUAGGCGGGAUGGCAAGUCGGUCGUGAAAUCCUUCGGCUCAACCGGGGAACUGCGUCCGAUACUGGUGGGCUUGAAUCCGGGAGAGGGAUGCGGAAUUCCAGGUGUAGCGGUGAAAUGCGUAGAUAUCUGGAGGAACACCGGUGGCGAAGGCGGCAUCCUGGACCGGCAUUGACGCUGAGGCGCGAAAGCCAGGGGAGCAAACGGG
Molecule: ribosomal RNA, 253 nt
Filed under: uncultured bacterium
Lineage: Bacteria
Description: partial 16S ribosomal RNA
Rfam family: Bacterial small subunit ribosomal RNA
Source: RNAcentral